UACGUAGGUGGCAGGCGUUGUCCGGAUUUACUGGGCGUAAAGGAUGUGUAGGCGGAUACUUAAGUGAGAUGUGAAAGCCCCGGGCUCAACCUGGGGACUGCAUUUCAAACUGGGUAUCUAGAGUGCAGGAGAGGAAAGCGGAAUUCCUAGUGUAGCGGUGAAAUGCGUAGAGAUUAGGAAGAACAUCAGUGGCGAAGGCGGCUUUCUGGACUGU
Molecule: ribosomal RNA, 214 nt
Filed under: uncultured bacterium
Lineage: Bacteria
Description: partial 16S ribosomal RNA
Rfam family: Bacterial small subunit ribosomal RNA
Source: RNAcentral